Molecule: unclassified non-coding RNA, 413 nt
Filed under: soil metagenome
Description: partial contains 5.8S ribosomal RNA, internal transcribed spacer 2, and large subunit ribosomal RNA
Rfam family: 5.8S ribosomal RNA (bases 1-122)
Source: RNAcentral
GAUGAAGAACGCAGCGAAAUGCGAUAAGUAGUGUGAAUUGCAGGUGUAUACGUGAAUCAUCGAAUCUUUGAACGCAAAUUGCACUUUCUGGUAUUCCAGGAAGUAUGCCUGUUUGAGGGUCGCCUAAAUAAACUUCGAUUAUAUUGCUUUUUUUGUAAAUAUAUGUCGGAUUUGGGCUUUUCUUUAUUUUUUUUUUAAAUAAAGUGGCUUAAAAUUUUUUUUUUUGGUAUCAUCGAAAAGCGUAUUUUACGAUCAAUGUCGAUCAAAAGAAACGUUGUCGAAUGCCAUCCUUUAUUAAUGUAAUACGUUUGACUUGUGUUAUCAUCUAGUUCAUUCGUAUACGAUUCUUGAUUUUUUGACCUCAAAUCAGGUAAGAGUACCCGCUGAACUUAAGCAUAUCAAUAAGCGGAGGA